Long non-coding RNA from Prunus avium (sweet cherry), 953 nucleotides. RefSeq lists it as uncharacterized. The record is from RefSeq and is a predicted model, not a curated record. NCBI's taxonomy places the organism in Eukaryota, Viridiplantae, Streptophyta, Magnoliopsida, Rosales, Rosaceae.
UCAACUUUUUCACCCUCCCUCCCAAUUUUUUCACGCUCCCUCACUUUUUUUUUUCAGACUCCCUCUUAUUCCUCUCAAUCAAUACCUUCUCCUAUUUUCUUUGGUCAGAAUUGAUACAUUUCUCUGGAACUCCCCCUCUCCUCUUUCUCUGCCCUCUCAGUCUCUCUCCUUUCAAACUCCUUUUUUGUAUUGCUCUCUCAGUUUCUCUGCGUCAAUCUCUCUCCUCCUCCUCGUCAUCGUCCUCUCUCUCUCUCUCUCUCUCUCUCCUCCCUUUCCCUACCACAAUUCGAAAAUCAAGGUCCAAAAGCCCUAUUUACUGCUCUCAUUUGAUAUCUCUUUCAUUUUCCUCUUCGUUGUGUCCCUCGCUUUUCAUGGUGGUGGAGGAAAAGGUAGUAAUCUGGCAAAGUCAUACUGGUGCUCAAAGAUUGGAUUUUUACGGCUACCCAUCUGGCCUUGUUUAAAAUUGUAAUUGGCUUUGAGAUUGGACAAAGGUUGGCUUUCGUGAUUCUGUGAAGCUUGUUUUCCCCCUCCAAUUUGCAUUGCAAAAUUAUUAAGAUGAGAAAAAAUGUUUGAGUUUAUUGUUUUUAAGAUUGAAGUUCGUUAAUUAUGUUUAUUUUGACUUUUCUUUUGAUCACUAAAGGGUAUUUGUGUUUCUUCUGCACAAACAACAGGCGAGGAAAAGAGAAAAGAUGGCAAAGCUCAAGGAGGAAAUCGCCGUCCAAAAAGCCAAAGGAACUUAUAGCAAUUUUACAUUUAUUUUUUAUUUUUUAAAAAUUAUAAAUUUUACAAGUAAUGCAAUAAAAUAAUAGAAAAAUGACACAAGUUAGAAUCUCAAGGCUACAACGUCAGUUGUUUGCCACCAAAAAAUGUUUCGUAAAAGCUUUAAAAGGAUUCAUUAGAGCUUCAACAUUGCUUCAUUUACUAUUCAAUAAAACUUCAUAAUAUUAUUUUUA